CGGACUUCUACACCCGCCUCCAGACAGGAGAGGGGCACGUACCGGCGCUACGGCUUCCUGCAGGCUGCCUCCGGAUAGUCCCCGAGAGCUUGUUCCGAAGCAAGCACCCUGCAGCCCUAGCGAUCCAGCCCUCCCCUGGACCCUAGGUCACGGCAAUCAACCCCCUGCUGUGGUUCCCGAACCCCAAGGCCCGAUGGGUCCCGCGGGGGUCGCGGCGAGGCCAGGGCGCUUUUUCGGCGUCUACCUGCUCUACUGCCUGAACCCCCGGUACCGGGGCCGCGUCUACGUGGGGUUCACUGUCAACACUGCUCGUCGGGUCCAGCAGCACAAUGGGGGCCGCAAAAAAGGCGGGGCCUGGCGGACCAGCGGGCGAGGGCCCUGGUGAGAGGGGGAGGCCUUCUGUGCCGGGAGGAAGGCGUCCCAGAGGAGGCGGACCCCGCGGGGCACAGGCCUGUUGAGAAGGACCGGCCAGGACUGUGACAGAGGCGGGGCGUCUGUGGUGGGGACGGGGCCUGUCGCAGGGGAGGAGCGUGACGGGGAGGCGGUGCCCGGGGCAUCUCCGCGGCGGAACUCAGGGAAGGAGCUAGCUGGGGCGGGGGUGAUGAUCCAGGCUGGGUUCCAGCAUAGGGCUCUUGGUGGGCACGCUGGGGUCGGGUGGAAUGCAGGAGAGAGAGGAGGUGGGACAGGUGGGUACCUGGGCUGGAGGCAGGGCCUGAGGUGGGCAGGUGCAGAGGGCUGCACUUCUCGGCUGAAGCCGGGAAUGAGGACCCCGCUCUCGGGUGGGAUUGGAGGGGACCCGCGGCUGAGGCGCUGGGCUGCGACAGGGACAUCACCGUUCUCCUCCUCAGGGAGAUGGUGCUCGUCGUGCACGGCUUCCCGUCCUCCGUGGCCGCCCUUCGGGUAAGGAAGGAGACCGGGCAGCGGCGGCCGGGUGAGGGCUUGGGUUCCGCCCCUCGCUCCGAGCCGCCCUGAUGCCCCUGUACGCCGCCCGCAGUUUGAGUGGGCUUGGCAGCACCCGCACGCCUCGCGCCGCCUGGCGCACGUGGGGCCUCGCCUGCGAGGAGAGACAGCCUUCGCUUUCCACCUGCGCGUGCUGGCGCACAUGCUGCGCGCACCGCCCUGGGCUCGCCUCCCGCUCACGCUGCGCUGGGUGCGCCCAGACCUCCGCCAGGACCUCUGCCUCCCGCCGCCGCCGCACGUGCCUCUGGCCUUCGGGCCUCCACCGCCCCAGGCCCCGGCCCCAAGGCGCCGCGCAGGUCCCUUUGAUGACGCGGAGCCUGAGCCAGACCAGGGGGAUCCAGGGGCCUGCUGCUCCCUGUGCGCCCAGACCAUCCAGGAUGAAGAGGGGCCCUUGUGUUGCCCCCACCCUGGCUGCCUGCUAAGGGCCCAUGUGAUCUGCCUGGCAGAGGAGUUUCUUCAGGAAGAACCAGGGCAGCUUCUGCCCCUAGAGGGCCAAUGCCCUUGCUGUGAGAAGUCACUGCUUUGGGGAGACCUGAUCUGGCUGUGCCAGAUGGACACUGAGAAAGAAGUAGAAGACUCAGAAUUAGAAGAGGAACAUGGAGCUGAUCCAGGACACCUCCCGCCCGCCACUGGAGUACGUGAAGGGGGUCCCGCUCAUCAAGUACUUUGCAGAGGCACUGGGGCCCCUGCAGAGCUUCCAAGCCCGACCUGAUGACCUGCUCAUCAACACCUACCCCAAGUCUGGCACCACCUGGGUGAGCCAGAUACUGGACAUGAUCUACCAGGGCGGCGACCUAGAGAAGUGUAACCGGGCUCCCAUCUACGUACGGGUGCCCUUCCUUGAGGUCAAUGAUCCAGGGGAACCCUCAGGGCUGGAGACUCUGAAAGACACACCGCCCCCACGGCUCAUCAAGUCACACCUGCCCCUGGCUCUGCUCCCUCAGACUCUGUUGGAUCAGAAGGUCAAGGUGGUCUAUGUUGCCCGAAACCCAAAGGACGUGGCGGUCUCCUACUACCAUUUCCACCGUAUGGAAAAGGCGCACCCUGAGCCUGGGACCUGGGACAGCUUCCUGGAAAAGUUCAUGGCUGGAGAAGUGUCCUACGGGUCCUGGUACCAGCACGUGCAGGAGUGGUGGGAGCUGAGCCGCACCCACCCUGUUCUCUACCUCUUCUAUGAAGACAUGAAGGAGAACCCCAAAAGGGAGAUUCAAAAGAUCCUGGAGUUUGUGGGGCGCUCCCUGCCAGAGGAGACCAUGGACUUCAUGGUUCAGCACACGUCGUUCAAGGAGAUGAAGAAGAACCCUAUGACCAACUACACCACCGUCCCCCAGGAGCUCAUGGACCACAGCAUCUCCCCCUUCAUGAGGAAAGGCAUGGCUGGGGACUGGAAGACCACCUUCACCGUGGCGCAGAAUGAGCGCUUCGAUGCGGACUAUGCGGAGAAGAUGGCAGGCUGCAGCCUCAGCUUCCGCUCUGAGCUGUGAGAGGGGCUCCUGGAGUCACUGCAGAGGGAGUGUGCGAAUCUACCCUGACCAAUGGGCUCAAGAAUAAAGUAUGAUUUUUGAGUCAGGCACAGUGGCUCAUGUCUGCAAUCCCAGCGAUUUGGGAGGUUGAGCUGGUAGGAUCACAAUAGGCCACGAAUUUGAGACCAGCCUGGUAAAAUAGUGAGACCUCAUCUCUACAAAGAUGUAAAAAAAUUAGCCACAUGUGCUGGCACUUACCUGUAGUCCCAGCUACUUGGGAAGCAGAGGCUGGAGGAUCAUUUCAGCCCAGGAGGUUGUGGAUACAGUGAGUUAUGACAUGCCCAUUCACUACAGCCUGGAUGACAAGCAAGACCCUCCCUCCAAAGAAAAUAAAGCUCAAUUAAAAUAAAA
Molecule: long non-coding RNA, 2834 nt
Organism: Homo sapiens (human)
Lineage: Eukaryota; Metazoa; Chordata; Mammalia; Primates; Hominidae
Gene: SLX1A-SULT1A3
Product: SLX1A-SULT1A3 readthrough (NMD candidate)
Source: Ensembl